RNAcentral lists this ribosomal RNA (563 nucleotides) under uncultured bacterium. RNAcentral's name for it is "bacterial SSU rRNA". It matches the Rfam family "Bacterial small subunit ribosomal RNA", at positions 338 to 916 of the family's 1533-position model. The record is from RNAcentral.
CCUACGGGAGGCAGCAGUGGGGAAUAUUGCACAAUGGGCGAAAGCCUGAUGCAGCGACGCCGCGUGAGGGAUGACGGCCUUCGGGUUGUAAACCUCUUUCAGCAGGGAAGAAGCGAAAGUGACGGUACCUGCAGAAGAAGCGCCGGCUAACUACGUGCCAGCAGCCGCGGUAAUACGUAGGGCGCAAACGUUGUCCGGAAUUAUUGGGCGUAAAGAGCUCGUAGGCGGCUUGUCACGUCGGAUGUGAAAGCCCGAGGCUUAACCUCGGGUCUGCAUUCGAUACGGGCUAGCUAGAGUGUGGUAGGGGAGAUCGGAAUUCCUGGUGUAGCGGUGAAAUGCGCAGAUAUCAGGAGGAACACCGGUGGCGAAGGCGGAUCUCUGGGCCAUUACUGACGCUGAGGAGCGAAAGCGUGGGGAGCGAACAGGAUUAGAUACCCUGGUAGUCCACGCCGUAAACGUUGGGAACUAGGUGUUGGCGACAUUCCACGUCGUCGGUGCCGCAGCUAACGCAUUAAGUCCCGCCUGGGAGUACGGCCGCAAGGCAAACUCAAAGGAAUUGACGG